CCAACGGCCCUCUUUAGGGCCAACCAAAAAAUGAUACUCAUUAUUU
Non-coding RNA from Parastrongyloides trichosuri, 46 nucleotides. The record is from Rfam. Lineage: Eukaryota; Metazoa; Nematoda; Chromadorea; Rhabditida; Strongyloididae.